GCACCCAUAGCUCAGCUGGAUAGAGCAUCUGCCUUCUAAGCAGACGGUCUCAGGUUCGAAUCCUGAUGGGUGUA
This 74-nucleotide transfer RNA is filed under the name bacterium. RNAcentral's name for it is "tRNA-Arg". It matches the Rfam family "tRNA". From Rfam's summary of the family: Transfer RNA (tRNA) molecules are approximately 80 nucleotides in length. Their secondary structure includes four short double-helical elements and three loops (D, anti-codon, and T loops). Further hydrogen bonds mediate the characteristic L-shaped molecular structure. tRNAs have two regions of fundamental functional importance: the anti-codon, which is responsible for specific mRNA codon recognition, and the 3' end, to which the tRNAs corresponding amino acid is attached (by aminoacyl-tRNA synthetases). tRNAs cope with the degeneracy of the genetic code in two manners: having more than one tRNA (with a specific anti-codon) for a particular amino acid; and 'wobble' base-pairing, i.e. permitting non-standard base-pairing at the 3rd anti-codon position. The record is from RNAcentral.